Molecule: ribosomal RNA, 693 nt
Filed under: uncultured bacterium
Lineage: Bacteria
Description: bacterial SSU rRNA
Rfam family: Bacterial small subunit ribosomal RNA
Source: RNAcentral
GAAGAAGCUUGCUUCUUCUGAUUUAGCGGCGGACGGGUGAGUAACACGUGGGCAACCUGCCCUGUAGAUUGGGAUAACUCCGGGAAACCGGGGCUAAUACCGAAUAAUCCAUUUCCUCACAUGGGGAGAUGUUAAAAGACGGCAUCUCGCUGUCACUACAGGAUGGGCCCGCGGCGCAUUAGCUAGUUGGUGAGGUAACGGCUCACCAAGGCGACGAUGCGUAGCCGACCUGAGAGGGUGAUCGGCCACACUGGGACUGAGACACGGCCCAGACUCCUACGGGAGGCAGCAGUAGGGAAUCUUCCACAAUGGACGAAAGUCUGACGGAGCAACGCCGCGUGAGUGAUGAAGGUUUUCGGAUCGUAAAACUCUGUUGUUAGGGAAGAACAAGUACCGUUCGAAUAGGGCGGCACCUUGACGGUACCUAACCAGAAAGCCACGGCUAACUACGUGCCAGCAGCCGCGGUAAUACGUAGGUGGCAAGCGUUGUCCGGAAUUAUUGGGCGUAAAGCGCGCGCAGGCGGUUUCUUAAGUCUGAUGUGAAAGCCCCCGGCUCAACCGGGGAGGGUCAUUGGAAACUGGGGAACUUGAGUGCAGAAGAGGAUAGUGGAAUUCCAAGUGUAGCGGUGAAAAUGCGUAGAGAUUUGGAGGAACACCAGUGGCGAAGGCGACUAUCUGGUCUGUAACUGACAC